GACGAACGCUGGCGGCGUGCCUAACACAUGCAAGUCGAGCGGAGCUAGUAGCAAUAUUAGUUUAGCGGCGGACGGGUGAGUAACGCGUGGUCAACCUGCCUUCUACAGGGGGAUAACACAGGGAAACUUGUGCUGAUACCGCAUAACAUACUUAAGGGCCAUCCCUUGGGUAUCAAAGGAGCAAUCCGGUAGAAGAUGGGCCCGCGUCCGAUUAGCUAGUUGGAGGUGUAACGGACCACCAAGGCGACGAUCGGUAGCCGAACUGAGAGGUUGAUCGGGCACAUUGGGACUGAGACACGGCCCAGACUCCUACGGGAGGCAGCAGUGGGGAAUAUUGCGCAAUGGGGGAAACCCUGACGCAGCAACGCCGCGUGAAGGAUGAGGGUCUUCGGAUUGUAAACUUCUUUAGUCGGGGACGAAGAAAUGACGGUACCCGAAGAAUAAGCCACGGCUAACUACGUGCCAGCCGCCGCCGUAA
Molecule: ribosomal RNA, 478 nt
Filed under: uncultured bacterium
Lineage: Bacteria
Description: partial 16S ribosomal RNA
Rfam family: Bacterial small subunit ribosomal RNA
Source: RNAcentral